AUAAAAAUUAGAAUCAGAGAGAGAUAAACGUUACGUUCUGAGAAACAUAUAACAGAGAAAAGCAAUGUAAAGAAUAGUCAGGUGACUGGAUAGUUGGUACUAACGUUGCAUUGUCAUUGUCGGAUUCUUCAUUUUCGCUUAACUCAUUUGAACAUUGAGAGUCUGAUCCAUUGUUGCUAUUGCUCAUCAUCGACGUGCUUUCUGUAUCAGACCAUACAGCGCUAUCCUCAAAAUGUUCAAUUUCACAUGACGUCGUCUGUGUGCUGUGAUUUUUUGUUGAAAUGAACUCAACCUCCGUACCUUAGCAUAAAAUUAUCGUAUUGCUGGAUUUUUCACAAAAAUCAAAACGGCCGGAAUGGAAAGUCUAUACCUCUACUUAUCAUAUUUGGCACUUUUGUUUGAGUGGUUCUUGACCUUACGUGUUUUUGCGGACGGAUUGUUAUGGCUGCUUGGCAUUUCACAUUGCGCUUCUAAGACAAACUUCCUUUGAGGUAAAACGCACAAACAUUUCGAGCCGAUGUCAACACAUCGUGGUCGUCGUCUACAAGAAAGUCGUCAUUUUCUGCAAGAACGUCGUCAAUAAUCUAAAAUUAUAAAAUUGUCUUCAAUUUGAUGCUACACUUGUGGGUUCCACAGAGUAUUCAAAAAUCGUGGGUACAGCAUCCUUCUUAAGGCGAAGCCGUCCUGCUGUCCAUCCUACUGAUUGCAUCGCUUCAAAAU
This is a long non-coding RNA of Xenia sp. Carnegie-2017, 720 nucleotides long. RefSeq lists it as uncharacterized. The record is from RefSeq and is a predicted model, not a curated record. The transcript is spliced from 3 exons. Lineage: Eukaryota; Metazoa; Cnidaria; Anthozoa; Malacalcyonacea; Xeniidae.